UCGCUCAUCAUCACUGACACGUCCUUGUUAUCUGGAAAGAGCACGGAAAUGCAGCGGCCUCCUUGAAGAUCCUGAUAAAUGAAGAAAAGACACAGAGAAGGAUGUGACAUGCCUGGGCCAUGGAGCACUCUGAGAUCUCAUCGGGGACACCACUGCCCACACCUCCAUCCCGUCCUGCGCAGGCCGACACUCACUGACGUUGAAGCCUGCCUUCAGUGCCUGGAUGUCUGCGGCCACCCCAGACAUGCGGCAGGAAACUGCAUAUCUUCUGGUUUACAUGAAGAUGGAGUGCUAAUGGAAAUGCCCAAAACCUUCAGAGAUUGACACGCUGUCAUUUUCCAUUUCCGUUCCUGGAUCUACGGAGUCUUCUAAGAGAUUUUGCAAUGAGGAGAAGCACUGUUUUCAAACUAUAUAACUGAGCCUUAUUUAUAAUUAGGGAUAUUAUCAAAAUAUGUAACCAUGAGGCCCCUCAGGUCCUGAUCAGUCAGAAUGGAUGCUUUCACCAGCAGACCCGGCCAUGUGGCUGCUCGGUCCUGGGUGCUCGCUGCUGUGCGAGACAUUAGCCCUUUAGUUAUGAGCCUGUGGGAACUUCAGGGGUUCCCAGUGGGGAGAGCAGUGGCAGUGGGAGGCAUCUGGGGGCCAAAGGUCAGUGGCAGGGGGUAUUUCAGUAUUAUACAACUGCUGUGACCAGACUUGUAUACUGGCUGAAUAUCAGUGCUUUUUGUAAUUUUUCACUUUGAGAACCAACAUUAAUUCCAUAUGAAUCAAGUGUUUUGUAACUGCUAUUCAUUUAUUCAGCAAAUAUUUAUUGAUCAUCUCUUCUCCAUAAGAUAGUGUGAUAAACACAGUCAUGAAUAAAGUUAUUUUCCACAAAAGGACUUUGCAGUUUUAACGGGGGGCAGUAGGGCUUGUGCUAUAGAAAUUCAAAGGCAAGGGAAGUCACUUCUGUUGUGGGGCCCUGGGAGGAGCCUCCAGGCUGGAAAGGC
This 986-nucleotide long non-coding RNA is filed under the name Homo sapiens (human). RNAcentral describes it as "HSALNT0405038". The record is from RNAcentral. Lineage: Eukaryota; Metazoa; Chordata; Mammalia; Primates; Hominidae.